RNAcentral lists this ribosomal RNA (319 nucleotides) under uncultured eukaryote. Its description in RNAcentral is "partial 18S ribosomal RNA". It matches the Rfam family "Eukaryotic small subunit ribosomal RNA", at positions 1470 to 1796 of the family's 1831-position model. The record is from RNAcentral.
CCCUUAGAUGUCCUGGGCCGCACGCGUGCUACACUGACGCCUACAGCGAGUACUUCCCAGCCCCGAGAGGUGGCUGGUAAUCAGCAAUAGGCGUCGUGAUGGGGAUAGAUCUUUGGAAUUAUGGAUCUUGAACGAGGAGUGCCUAGUAAGCGCAGGUCAUUAGCCUGCGCUGAUUAAGUCCCUGCCCUUUGUACACACCGCCCGUCGCUCCUACCGAUUUCGAGUGGUCCGGUGAAUCUUUCGGACUGCGCGCGGCCUCGUGCCGUGUCGCGGAAAGUCAGGUAAACCUUAUCACUUAGAGGAAGGAGAAGUCGUANCA